This 430-nucleotide ribosomal RNA is filed under the name uncultured bacterium. RNAcentral describes it as "bacterial SSU rRNA". It matches the Rfam family "Bacterial small subunit ribosomal RNA", at positions 29 to 507 of the family's 1533-position model. The record is from RNAcentral.
AACGAACGCUGGCGGCAGGCCCUUACAUGCAAGUCGAGCGCACCUUCGGGUGAGCGGCGGACGGGUUAGUAACGCGUGGGAACGUGCCCUUCUCUCCGGAAUAGCCUCUGGAAACGGAGAGUAAUACCGUAUACGCCCUUUGGGGGAAAGAUUUAUCGGAGAAGGAUCGGCCCGCGUUAGAUUAGGUAGUUGGUGGGGUAACGGCCUACCAAGCCUACGAUCUAUAGCUGGUUUUAGAGGAUGAUCAGCAACACUGGGACUGAGACACGGCCCAGACUCCUACGGGAGGCAGCAGUGGGGAAUCUUAGACAAUGGGCGCAAGCCUGAUCUAGCCAUGCCGCGUGAGUGAAGAAGGCCUUAGGGUCGUAAAACUCUUUCGCCAGAGAUGAUAAUGACAGUAUCUGGUAAAGAAACCCCGGCUAACUCCGUG